AGUGAACGCUGGCGGUAUGCCUAACACAUGCAAGUCGAACGGCAGCAUAGUAAGAUCUUGCUCUUACGGGUGGCGAGUGGCGGACGGGUGAGGAAUACAUCGGAAUCUACUUUUUCUUGGGGGAUAACGUAGGGAAACGUACGCUAAUACCGCAUAUGACCUACGGGUGGAAGCAGUGGAGCUUCGGACCUUGCCCGAUUGUAUGAGCUGAUGCCGGAUUAGCUAGUUGGCUAGGUAAAGGCCCACCAAGGCGACGAUCCGUAGCUGACCUGAGAGGAUGAUCGGCCACACUGGAACUGAGACACGGUCCAGACUCCUACGGGAGGCAGCAGUAGGGAAUCUUGAGCAAUGGGCGAAAGCCUGACGGAGCAACGCCGCGGGAGUGAGGAAGGUCUUCGGAUCGUAAAACCCUUUUAUUAGGGAAGAAAAAAUGGGUAAGUAACCACGCACGUCUUGACGGUACCUAAUAAGAAAGCCCCGGCUAACUACGUG
RNAcentral lists this ribosomal RNA (492 nucleotides) under uncultured bacterium. RNAcentral's name for it is "partial 16S ribosomal RNA". It matches the Rfam family "Bacterial small subunit ribosomal RNA", at positions 29 to 507 of the family's 1533-position model. The record is from RNAcentral.